GACGAACGCUGGCGGCGUGCUUAACACAUGCAAGUCGAACGGAAAGGCCCUGCUUUUGUGGGGUGCUCGAGUGGCGAACGGGUGAGUAACACGUGAGUAACCUGCCCUUGACUUUGGGAUAACUUCAGGAAACUGGGGCUAAUAUCGGAUAGGAGCUCCUGCUGCAUGGUGGGGGUUGGAAAGUUUCGGCGGUUGGGGAUGGACUCGCGGCUUACCAGCUUGUUGGUGGGGUAGUGGCUUACCAAGGCUUUGACGGGUAGCCGGCCUGGGAGGGUGGCCGGCGACAUUGGGACUGAGAGACGGACCAGACUCGUACGGGAGGCAGCAGUGGGGAAUAUUGCACAAUGGGCGGAAGCCUGAUGCAGCGACGCCGCGUGCGGGAUGACGGCCUUCGGGUUGUAAACCGCUUUCGCCUGUGACGAAGCGUGAGUGACGGUAAUGAAUAAAGAAGCACCGGCUAACUACGUG
This 468-nucleotide ribosomal RNA is filed under the name uncultured bacterium. RNAcentral's name for it is "partial 16S ribosomal RNA". It matches the Rfam family "Bacterial small subunit ribosomal RNA", at positions 28 to 507 of the family's 1533-position model. The record is from RNAcentral.